This 235-nucleotide ribosomal RNA is filed under the name uncultured bacterium. Its description in RNAcentral is "partial 16S ribosomal RNA". It matches the Rfam family "Bacterial small subunit ribosomal RNA", at positions 118 to 347 of the family's 1533-position model. The record is from RNAcentral.
UGAGUAACCUGCCCUUAACUCUGGGAUAAGCCUGGGAAACUGGGUCUAAUACCGGAUAUGACUCCUCAUCGCAUGGUGGGGGGUGGAAAGCUUUAUUGUGGUUCUGGAUGGACUCGCGGCCUAUCAGCUUGUUGGUGAGGUAAUGGCUCACCAAGGCGACGACGGGUAGCCGGCCUGAGAGGGUGACCGGCCACACUGGGACUGAGACACGGCCCAGACCUCCGUACGGGAGCAG